This 780-nucleotide ribosomal RNA is filed under the name uncultured Acidobacteriota bacterium. RNAcentral's name for it is "bacterial SSU rRNA". It matches the Rfam family "Bacterial small subunit ribosomal RNA", at positions 74 to 833 of the family's 1533-position model. The record is from RNAcentral. Lineage: Bacteria; Pseudomonadati; Acidobacteriota.
GGGGCUUCGGCCCUGAGUAGAGCGGCAAACGGGUGAGUAACACGUGGGUGACCUGCCUUCGAGUGGGGGAUAACGUCCCGAAAGGGACGCUAAUACCGCAUGACAUCCUGCCUUUGGAAAGGCGGAGAUCAAAGCCGGGGAUCGCAAGACCUGGCGCUUGAAGAGGGGCCCGCGCCUGAUUAGCUAGUUGGUGGGGUAAUGGCUCACCAAGGCAACGAUCAGUAGCCGGCCUGAGAGGGCGGACGGCCACACUGGGACUGAGACACGGCCCAGACUCCUACGGGAGGCAGCAGUGGGGAAUUGUUCGCAAUGGGCGCAAGCCUGACGACGCAACGCCGCGUGGAGGACGAAGAUCUUCGGGUCGUAAACUCCUGUCGAGCGGGAAGAGCACCUUCCGGGCGAAUAUCCUGGAGGGCUGACGGUACCGCUAAAGGAAGCCCCGGCUAACUCCGUGCCAGCAGCCGCGGUAAUACGGGGGGGGCAAGCGUUGUUCGGAAUUACUGGGCGUAAAGGGCUCGUAGGCGGCCAACUAAGUCGGACGUGAAAUCCCCAGGCUCAACCUGGGAACUGCGUCCGAUACUGGAUGGCUUGAAUUCGGGAGAGGGAUGCAGAAUUCCAGGUGUAGCGGUGAAAUGCGUAGAUAUCUGGAGGAAUACCGGUGGCGAAGGCGGCAUCCUGGACCGACAUUGACGCUGAUGAGCGAAAGCUAGGGGAGCAAACGGGAUUAGAUACCCCGGUAGUCCUAGCCCUAAACGAUGAAUGCUUGGUGUGACGGGUAUC